Molecule: unclassified non-coding RNA, 213 nt
Filed under: plant metagenome
Description: partial contains small subunit ribosomal RNA, internal transcribed spacer 1, and 5.8S ribosomal RNA
Source: RNAcentral
UUUCCGUAGGUGAACCUGCGGAAGGAUCAUUCAUAAUAAGUGUUUUAUGGCAUUUUUUUAUAUCCAUAUCCCCCUUGUGUGCAAUGUCAGGGUUGAUUUUUCUCUCGUGAAGAUCAGCCCCAAAUAUCAACUAUAUCUCUUCUCUUUCUCUGAAAAAUAUUAUGAAUAAAACAAUCUAACAUACAACUUUCAACAACGGAUCUCUUGGCUCUC